CACAAUGUUGUGAUUGCAGCUUAAGAAACUCCAUGCCAUUGGAUACAAGCCUGUUCUGCUUCUUGGCAAGGAGACCAAAAAGAAUGAAUUCAAGUUUGAAAUAUUAACCCCUCUCUGCCCACUCUACACCUAUGCCCAGGACUACCUUCAGAAGAUGGGUUCACUUUAUGAAUACCUUUGUGAAGUCCCCAAAAGAGAGCAAGCUUUUGGGAAUGUUGGGAAGAGCACAACACAUGCAUGUCAAGUUCCAGCUUACCACAUUUGCAAUUUGGCAUCCAGGAACCCACAGAAUUUGACUAGGAGGGAACCAGGAUUCCAGUGGCAAUGAUGACCAGCUGAUGACGCUGCGUCUCACACCCUGUGAUCCAUUGGAGAACACAAGUGUAACCCACCUAUGGAUACUGAAGUGCAACACUCUACUCUGCCUGCAGGUGGCCCAUACACCCCAG
This is a long non-coding RNA of Silurus meridionalis, 449 nucleotides long. RefSeq lists it as uncharacterized. The transcript has 3 exons. The record is from RefSeq and is a predicted model, not a curated record. NCBI's taxonomy places the organism in Eukaryota, Metazoa, Chordata, Actinopteri, Siluriformes, Siluridae.